RNAcentral lists this ribosomal RNA (2903 nucleotides) under Escherichia coli. RNAcentral describes it as "bacterial LSU rRNA". It matches the Rfam family "Bacterial large subunit ribosomal RNA". Lineage: Bacteria; Pseudomonadati; Pseudomonadota; Gammaproteobacteria; Enterobacterales; Enterobacteriaceae. The record is from RNAcentral. RNAcentral also lists the same sequence under 2 other names.
UUAAGCGACUAAGCGUACACGGUGGAUGCCCUGGCAGUCAGAGGCGAUGAAGGACGUGCUAAUCUGCGAUAAGCGUCGGUGAGGUGAUAUGAACCGUUAUAACCGGCGAUUUCCGAAUGGGGAAACCCAGUGUGUUUCGACACACUAUCAUUAACUGAAUCCAUAGGUUAAUGAGGCGAACCGGGGGAACUGAAACAUCUAAGUACCCCGAGGAAAAGAAAUCAACCGAGAUUCCCCCAGUAGCGGCGAGCGAACGGGGAGGAGCCCAGAGCCUGAAUCAGUGUGUGUGUUAGUGGAAGCGUCUGGAAAGGCGCGCGAUACAGGGUGACAGCCCCGUACACAAAAAUGCACAUAUUGUGAGCUCGAUGAGUAGGGCGGGACACGUGGUAUCCUGUCUGAAUAUGGGGGGACCAUCCUCCAAGGCUAAAUACUCCUGACUGACCGAUAGUGAACCAGUACCGUGAGGGAAAGGCGAAAAGAACCCCGGCGAGGGGAGUGAAAAAGAACCUGAAACCGUGUACGUACAAGCAGUGGGAGCCUCUUAAUGGGGUGACUGCGUACCUUUUGUAUAAUGGGUCAGCGACUUAUAUUCUGUAGCAAGGUUAACCGAAUAGGGGAGCCGAAGGGAAACCGAGUCUUAACUGGGCGUUAAGUUGCAGGGUAUAGACCCGAAACCCGGUGAUCUAGCCAUGGGCAGGUUGAAGGUUGGGUAACACUAACUGGAGGACCGAACCGACUAAUGUUGAAAAAUUAGCGGAUGACUUGUGGCUGGGGGUGAAAGGCCAAUCAAACCGGGAGAUAGCUGGUUCUCCCCGAAAGCUAUUUAGGUAGCGCCUCGUGAAUUCAUCUCCGGGGGUAGAGCACUGUUUCGGCAAGGGGGUCAUCCCGACUUACCAACCCGAUGCAAACUGCGAAUACCGGAGAAUGUUAUCACGGGAGACACACGGCGGGUGCUAACGUCCGUCGUGAAGAGGGAAACAACCCAGACCGCCAGCUAAGGUCCCAAAGUCAUGGUUAAGUGGGAAACGAUGUGGGAAGGCCCAGACAGCCAGGAUGUUGGCUUAGAAGCAGCCAUCAUUUAAAGAAAGCGUAAUAGCUCACUGGUCGAGUCGGCCUGCGCGGAAGAUGUAACGGGGCUAAACCAUGCACCGAAGCUGCGGCAGCGACGCUUAUGCGUUGUUGGGUAGGGGAGCGUUCUGUAAGCCUGUGAAGGUGUGCUGUGAGGCAUGCUGGAGGUAUCAGAAGUGCGAAUGCUGACAUAAGUAACGAUAAAGCGGGUGAAAAGCCCGCUCGCCGGAAGACCAAGGGUUCCUGUCCAACGUUAAUCGGGGCAGGGUGAGUCGACCCCUAAGGCGAGGCCGAAAGGCGUAGUCGAUGGGAAACAGGUUAAUAUUCCUGUACUUGGUGUUACUGCGAAGGGGGGACGGAGAAGGCUAUGUUGGCCGGGCGACGGUUGUCCCGGUUUAAGCGUGUAGGCUGGUUUUCCAGGCAAAUCCGGAAAACCAAGGCUGAGGCGUGAUGACGAGGCACUACGGUGCUGAAGCAACAAAUGCCCUGCUUCCAGGAAAAGCCUCUAAGCAUCAGGUAACAUCAAAUCGUACCCCAAACCGACACAGGUGGUCAGGUAGAGAAUACCAAGGCGCUUGAGAGAACUCGGGUGAAGGAACUAGGCAAAAUGGUGCCGUAACUUCGGGAGAAGGCACGCUGAUAUGUAGGUGAAGCGACUUGCUCGUGGAGCUGAAAUCAGUCGAAGAUACCAGCUGGCUGCAACUGUUUAUUAAAAACACAGCACUGUGCAAACACGAAAGUGGACGUAUACGGUGUGACGCCUGCCCGGUGCCGGAAGGUUAAUUGAUGGGGUUAGCGGUAACGCGAAGCUCUUGAUCGAAGCCCCGGUAAACGGCGGCCGUAACUAUAACGGUCCUAAGGUAGCGAAAUUCCUUGUCGGGUAAGUUCCGACCUGCACGAAUGGCGUAAUGAUGGCCAGGCUGUCUCCACCCGAGACUCAGUGAAAUUGAACUCGCUGUGAAGAUGCAGUGUACCCGCGGCAAGACGGAAAGACCCCGUGAACCUUUACUAUAGCUUGACACUGAACAUUGAGCCUUGAUGUGUAGGAUAGGUGGGAGGCUUUGAAGUGUGGACGCCAGUCUGCAUGGAGCCGACCUUGAAAUACCACCCUUUAAUGUUUGAUGUUCUAACGUGGGCCCCUAAUCGGGGUUGCGGACAGUGUCUGGUGGGUAGUUUGACUGGGGCGGUCUCCUCCUAAAGAGUAACGGAGGAGCACGAAGGUUGGCUAAUCCUGGUCGGACAUCAGGAGGUUAGUGCAAUGGCAUAAGCCAGCUUGACUGCGAGCGUGACGGCGCGAGCAGGUGCGAAAGCAGGUCAUAGUGAUCCGGUGGUUCUGAAUGGAAGGGCCAUCGCUCAACGGAUAAAAGGUACUCCGGGGAUAACAGGCUGAUACCGCCCAAGAGUUCAUAUCGACGGCGGUGUUUGGCACCUCGAUGUCGGCUCAUCACAUCCUGGGGCUGAAGUAGGUCCCAAGGGUAUGGCUGUUCGCCAUUUAAAGUGGUACGCGAGCUGGGUUUAGAACGUCGUGAGACAGUUCGGUCCCUAUCUGCCGUGGGCGCUGGAGAACUGAGGGGGGCUGCUCCUAGUACGAGAGGACCGGAGUGGACGCAUCACUGGUGUUCGGGUUGUCAUGCCAAUGGCACUGCCCGGUAGCUAAAUGCGGAAGAGAUAAGUGCUGAAAGCAUCUAAGCACGAAACUUGCCCCGAGAUGAGUUCUCCCUGAGACUUAGAGUCUCCUGAAGGAACGUUGAAGACGACGACGUUGAUAGGCCGGGUGUGUAAGCGCAGCGAUGCGUUGAGCUAACCGGUACUAAUGAACCGUGAGGCUUAACCUU